GGGGAUGUGGCUCAGUGGUAGAGCACUCGCCUAACGUGUGAGGCACUGGGUUUGAUUCUCAGAACCACA
RNAcentral lists this transfer RNA (69 nucleotides) under Marmota monax (woodchuck). RNAcentral describes it as "tRNA.Val". Lineage: Eukaryota; Metazoa; Chordata; Mammalia; Rodentia; Sciuridae. The record is from RNAcentral.